Molecule: ribosomal RNA, 434 nt
Filed under: uncultured Oscillospiraceae bacterium
Lineage: Bacteria; Bacillati; Bacillota; Clostridia; Eubacteriales; Oscillospiraceae
Description: partial 16S ribosomal RNA
Rfam family: Bacterial small subunit ribosomal RNA
Source: RNAcentral
ACGGAAGGCAGCAGUGGGGAAUAUUGGGCAAUGGGGGAAACCCUGACCCAGCAACGCCGCGUGAAGGAAGAAGUCCUUCGGGUUGUAAACUUCUUUUACCAGGGACGAUAAUGACGGUACCUGGAGAAAAAGCAACGGCUAACUACGUGCCAGCAGCCGCGGUAAUACGUAGGGUGCAAGCGUUGUCCGGAUUUACUGGGUGUAAAGGGCGUGUCGGCGGAGCUGCAAGUCAGAUGUGAAAUCCCGGGGCUCAACCCCGGAACUGCAUUUGAAACUGUAGCCCUUGAGUGUCGGAGAGGAAAGCGGAAUUCCUAGUGUAGCGGUGGAAUGCGUAGAUAUUAGGAGGAACACCAGUGGCGAAGGCGGCUUGCUGGACGACAACUGACGCUGAGGCGCGAAAGCGUGGGGAGCAAACAGGAUUAGAUACCCUGGUA